Molecule: ribosomal RNA, 337 nt
Filed under: uncultured Pseudomonadota bacterium
Lineage: Bacteria; Pseudomonadati; Pseudomonadota
Description: bacterial SSU rRNA
Rfam family: Bacterial small subunit ribosomal RNA
Source: RNAcentral
AACGAACGCUGGCGGCGUGCUUAACACAUGCAAGUCGAACGCGAAAGGGACUUCGGUCCUGAGUAAAGUGGCGCACGGGUGAGUAACGCGUGGAUAAUCUACCCAAUGAUCUGGGAUAACAUCUCGAAAGGGGUGCUAAUACCGGAUAAGACCACGGGAUCUCUGGAUUCUGCGGUAAAAGGUGGGGACCUUCGGGCCUACCGUCAUCGGAUGAGUCCGCGUACCAUUAGCUAGUUGGCAGGGUAAUGGCCUACCAAGGCAACGAUGGUUAGCUGGUCUGAGAGGAUGAUCAGCCACACUGGAACUGAGACACGGUCCAGACUCCUACGGGAGGCAG